GAACGCUGGCGGCAGGCCUAACACAUGCAAGUCGAGCGGUAGCACAGGAGAGCUUGCUCUCCGGGUGACGAGCGGCGGACGGGUGAGUAAUGUCUGGGAAACUGCCUGAUGGAGGGGGAUAACUACUGGAAACGGUAGCUAAUACCGCAUAACGUCGCAAGACCAAAGUGGGGGACCUUCGGGCCUCAUGCCAUCAGAUGUGCCCAGAUGGGAUUAGCUAGUAGGUGGGGUAAUGGCUCACCUAGGCGACGAUCCCUAGCUGGUCUGAGAGGAUGACCAGCCACACUGGAACUGAGACACGGUCCAGACUCCUACGGGAGGCAGCAGUGGGGAAUAUUGCACAAUGGGCGCAAGCCUGAUGCAGCCAUGCCGCGUGUAUGAAGAAGGCCUUCGGGUUGUAAAGUACUUUCAGCGAGGAGGAAGGCAUUAAGGUUAAUAACCUUAGUGAUUGACGUUACUCGCAGAAGAAGCACCGGCUAACUCCGUGCCAGCAGCCGCGGUAAUACGGAGGGUGCAAGCGUUAAUCGGAAUUACUGGGCGUAAAGCGCACGCAGGCGGUUUGUUAAGUCAGAUGUGAAAUCCCCGGGCUCAACCUGGGAACUGCAUUUGAAACUGGCAAGCUUGAGUCUUGUAGAGGGGGGUAGAAUUCCAGGUGUAGCGGUGAAAUGCGUAGAGAUCUGGAGGAAUACCGGUGGCGAAGGCGGCCCCCUGGACAAAGACUGACGCUCAGG
Molecule: ribosomal RNA, 731 nt
Filed under: Raoultella sp.
Lineage: Bacteria; Pseudomonadati; Pseudomonadota; Gammaproteobacteria; Enterobacterales; Enterobacteriaceae
Description: bacterial SSU rRNA
Rfam family: Bacterial small subunit ribosomal RNA
Source: RNAcentral